UACGAAGGGGGCUAGCGUUGCUCGGAAUUACUGGGCGUAAAGGGCGCGUAGGCGGAUAUCUAAGUUGGGGGUGAAAUCCCGGGGCUCAACCUCGGAAUUGCCUUCAAAACUGGGUAUCUUGAGUUCGGGAGAGGUGAGUGGAACUCCGAGUGUAGAGGUGAAAUUCGUAGAUAUUCGGAAGAACACCAGUGGCGAAGGCGACUCACUGGCCCGAUACUGACGCUGAGGCGCGAAAGCGUGGGGAGCAAACAGG
This 253-nucleotide ribosomal RNA is filed under the name uncultured bacterium. RNAcentral describes it as "partial 16S ribosomal RNA". It matches the Rfam family "Bacterial small subunit ribosomal RNA", at positions 524 to 776 of the family's 1533-position model. RNAcentral also lists the same sequence under 1 other name. The record is from RNAcentral.